Molecule: ribosomal RNA, 164 nt
Filed under: Eugeissona utilis
Lineage: Eukaryota; Viridiplantae; Streptophyta; Magnoliopsida; Arecales; Arecaceae
Description: 5.8S ribosomal RNA
Rfam family: 5.8S ribosomal RNA
About the family: 5.8S ribosomal RNA (5.8S rRNA) is a component of the large subunit of the eukaryotic ribosome. It is transcribed by RNA polymerase I as part of the 45S precursor that also contains 18S and 28S rRNA.
Source: RNAcentral
GGUACGACCCUCGGCAACGGAUAUCUCGGCUCUCGCAUCAAUGAAGAACGUAGUGAAAUGCGAUACAUGGUGUGAAUUGCAGAAUCCCGUGAACCAUUGAGUCUUUGAACGCAAGUUGGACCUGAGACCAUCCGACCAAGGGCACGCCUACCUGGGUGUCACUC